Molecule: ribosomal RNA, 250 nt
Filed under: uncultured prokaryote
Description: partial 16S ribosomal RNA
Rfam family: Bacterial small subunit ribosomal RNA
Source: RNAcentral
UACGUAUGGUGCAAGCGUUAUCCGGAUUUACUGGGUGUAAAGGGAGCGUAGACGGCGAAGCAAGCCAGAUGUGAAAGGCUGGGGCUCAACCCCGGGACUGCAUUUGGAACUGUUUUGCUAGAGUGUCGGAGAGGUAAGUGGAAUUCCUAGUGUAGCGGUGAAAUGCGUAGAUAUUAGGAGGAACACCGGUGGCGAAGGCGGCUUACUGGACGGCAACUGACGUUGAGGCUCGAAAGCGUGGGGAGCAAAC